AAGUAGUGAAUAUUAUUUAGUCAGCUCCGUCAAAAGUGGCACGUCCAACAAAAUGAAUACCCCAGUUUCCUCGUAGGUUAUUGGACCAAGUGUCAACAAGACCGUUUGCCACAUUAAAUGGAAAUUAAUUUUACCCCAGAUAAACAAGAAUCGGAGGCUAACAAAUUUCCAAUUUGGUAUUCGGUUAAGUUAUGUUAACAAAAGGCGCGCAACCAAAGUUGGAUAAUAAAUAAGAUGGGAAAACAAUAAUAAAAGAGCGAAGUGUGGCACGUGGGUAUUUUUGGAGGCCCCCAUUUGAAGGAGCCACCGUUCGAUGGGGGAACUUUGACUCCACUCGGCGACACUUUAUGACCAGCGAAUGUGCGUGACUGGCCGCAAAGUAUAAAUAAAAACAUUUUCCCAGCGUCUUUGGGGAGAAGAUAUCGCGCCGCCUCCGCUGGAGAAAUCGCGGAACAAAUGGAUGGAUGAGUCGACGGAUGGAUGGAAGACCUCUGCUGGCACGUACUCCGGCAUCCCGGGUGCAGCUCGUAAAUUUGGCCAAACCGUAUUGGCUGCUAAUUGAUGAUUGCAGUGGGGGUCACAGGAAAACGAGAGGUGAGAAGCUAAGGAAAUAGUGGGGUUUAGGGUAUUUGGUGAUUUUAUUAGGACAAAUUAGUAUAAACUUGCAAAAAUAAUUAAGUUUCGAAAUGCAGAACAGAGGAGUAUGACAAGUUCUUUAAUAGAAAUGCAUUAU
Drosophila melanogaster (fruit fly) is the source of this 733-nucleotide non-coding RNA. The record is from Ensembl. NCBI's taxonomy places the organism in Eukaryota, Metazoa, Arthropoda, Insecta, Diptera, Drosophilidae.